AGAGUUUGAUCAUGGCUCAGAACGAACGCUAGCGGCGUGCCUAACACAUGCAAGUCGAGCGAGAAAGGGAGCAAUCCUAAGUAAAGCGGCGCACGGGUGAGUAACACGUGGGUAACGUACCCUUGGGUGGGGAAUAACGAGUCGAAAGGCUCGCUAAUACCGCAUCAGACCACGUCCUUCGCGGAGGAUGAGGCCAAAGGGGCCUAUCGUAAGGUAGGUCCCGCCUGAGGAUCGGCUCGCGUACCAUUAGCUAGAUGGCGGGGUAAUGGCCCACCAUGGCUACGAUGGUUAGCUGGUCUGAGAGGACGACCAGCCACACUGGAACUGAAACACGGUCCAGACUCCUACGGGAGGCAGCAGUGGGGAAUAUUGCGCAAUGGGCGAAAGCCUGACGCAGCAACGCCGCGUGAGUGAAGAAGGCCUUCGGGUUGUAAAGCUCUGUCAGAGGGAAAGAAUAUUGCUGGCAACACCAGCAUUUGACGGUACCCUCGAAGGAAGCACUGGCUAACUCCGUGCCAGCAGCCGCGGUAAUACGGAGAGUGCAAGCGUUGUUCGGAAUUAUUGGGCGUAAAGCGCGUGUAGGUGGCUUGAUAAGUCUGAUGUGAAAGCCCAGGGCUCAACCCUGGAAGUGCAUUGGAAACUAUCGAGCUUGAGUACUGGAGGGGGAAGUGGAAUUCUCGAGUGUAGAGGUGAAAUUCGUAGAUAUUCGGAAGAACAUCAGUGGCGAAGGCGACUUCCUGGACAGAUACUGACACUGAGACGCGAAAGCGUGGGUAGCAAACAGGAUUAGAUACCCUAGUAGUCC
RNAcentral lists this ribosomal RNA (805 nucleotides) under uncultured bacterium. RNAcentral describes it as "bacterial SSU rRNA". It matches the Rfam family "Bacterial small subunit ribosomal RNA", at positions 8 to 796 of the family's 1533-position model. The record is from RNAcentral.